Molecule: long non-coding RNA, 1189 nt
Organism: Mercenaria mercenaria
Lineage: Eukaryota; Metazoa; Mollusca; Bivalvia; Venerida; Veneridae
Exons: 5
Source: RefSeq, a predicted model, not a curated record
UUGCUAAACAAUUCUAUAUAUAUAGAAGGUUGAGAUAAACUCGUUAGCUAUCUUAUGUCGGGCCGGUGGUUUCACACUUUUUUUCAUCAUGAUCCUUUACGAAACACAGCCAAAAAUGGCAUAUUUGGUUUCCUAUUGAAUGGUCCUGAUUUUAAUUUAAUUCGCUUGUACUGCGCGUUUAAUCAGUUGAAUGCUUCAACGAAGAAUGCUUGAUGUUUUUUCCUUGCCCUACAUCUCCCGUCUUAAAUCGGGGAAGGAUUUUUUCUUCUUCAAACGAUAACUUUUCAUACCUUCUAAAGUAUUCUCAAUUUUUGGCUUUAAGUACCAAUGUUAAGAAUCGUUUGCCACAUGUGGGUGUAAUUCAUUCAUGUAUCGGUAACAGGUCCCCGACAUGCUCAUCUAGCUAACAGAAGGCUAUUCAAUGGUAUUUCAAAACUAUUGUAUCACCACGCGUAUAAACAUGUAUCAGUUAUCGUUAGAAAACAGUCCUUACAAAACAUUCAGGCUACAUCUAAGAUCUUAGUAAAGCAAAUCUUUUCAACAGAAGGAAGUAAUUGACUGAAAAUGCUGAUAUUUAACACUUCACAAUUUCAGAUGAAAGUCAAGUCAUUAAAACUAAAGAUGUAUCAGAAGAAAAAAACAGAAAACUCAGCAAAGAAAGUAAACCUAUUGCCGUUAUAUCACCAGUCAACGGGGCGGGUGUAAACAGCAAUCAUUAUGGAGGACUGCAACUGACACGAGAACGAUUUCAGUUUUCUGGAGACAGUGAAAAUACGCCAAAAGAGAAUACAAAUAACAAAGGACCGACCAAUAACGGGACACAUGCUGAGAAUCAGAUUGUUCAUGUGAAGGAACUAGCCGAGUCUGAGGAAAAAGGUGCUGCAAAUACUGAAAUCGACUUGUUGAAAUUAUUUAGAGAUUUAGCAACACUACUACCAAUAGAUGAAUGUUCCUGGACGUUUUUUGCGAUUGACCUAUUACAUAUUAGCCGUGAACAAUGUGGUUUACCGAAAGAUGUCGAUAAUGAGAAGAACAAAAUAAAACACAACAACAAACGGCUAGACCUUGCUUAUUUCGAAUUGCUGAAUACCUGGUACAGUAUGAUGGGUAGUGAAGCGAGUUAAGAACAUAUUGAAAGUACAUUAAAGAGGUUGGACAACAAGAUCAUUAUGGAAGAAUUCGAACGAAU